AAGAGACAGCGCCGCCGGCCGUGGGGAGCGGACGCAGCGAUUUGCUCCCCUUCGCGCAGCAACCCCCACACCCAGCACCAGGCCCCCAGAACUCUCCUUCCAGCUGAACUCUCUGAGAACAAGUCAGUUGGGCUGAUCACUGAACUCACAUUUCUGGACCUGAGGAGCCUGUUCCUCUCACACCCUCACCUGGCUGAGCCGCAGUAGUUCUUCAGUGGCAAGCUUUAUGUCCUGACCCAGCUAAAGCUGCCAGUUGAAGAACUGUUGCCCUCUGCCCCUGGCUUCGAGGAGGAGGAGGAGCUGCUUUCCCCAUCAUCUGGAAGGUGACAGAAAUGGGCUGGGAAGGUCCGAACAGCAGGGUUGAUGAUACGUUUUGGGAAAGUUGUAGAGCCUUUGCCCAGAUUGGCCCAGCAAGGAGCGGUUUUAGAUUAGAGACACUGGCUGAAUUGAGGAGUAGAAGGCUCAAACAACCCAAGGUGGUAUGUGAUCCCCAGCUCAGGCCUGUGCAGACAGGAAAUUCUCCGCUGCAGCAAGUAGGGGAGGUGGGUUGUGGGAUG
This 557-nucleotide long non-coding RNA is filed under the name Pongo abelii (Sumatran orangutan). RNAcentral's name for it is "lincRNA". The stretch from base 192 to 275 matches the Rfam family "mir-22 microRNA precursor family". The record is from RNAcentral. Lineage: Eukaryota; Metazoa; Chordata; Mammalia; Primates; Hominidae.